Molecule: ribosomal RNA, 356 nt
Filed under: Novosphingobium sp. MBR2.7
Lineage: Bacteria; Pseudomonadati; Pseudomonadota; Alphaproteobacteria; Sphingomonadales; Sphingomonadaceae
Description: bacterial SSU rRNA
Rfam family: Bacterial small subunit ribosomal RNA
Source: RNAcentral
UCUAGUGGCGCACGGGUGCGUAACGCGUGGGAAUCUGCCCUUGGGUUCGGAAUAACACAGAGAAAUUUGUGCUAAUACCGGAUGAUGUCUUCGGACCAAAGAUUUAUCGCCCAGGGAUGAGCCCGCGUAGGAUUAGGUAGUUGGUGGGGUAAUGGCCUACCAAGCCGACGAUCCUUAGCUGGUCUGAGAGGAUGAUCAGCCACACUGGGACUGAGACACGGCCCAGACUCCUACGGGAGGCAGCAGUGGGGAAUAUUGGACAAUGGGCGAAAGCCUGAUCCAGCAAUGCCGCGUGAGUGAUGAAGGCCUUAGGGUUGUAAAGCUCUUUUACCAGGGAUGAUAAUGACAGUACCUGG